Molecule: long non-coding RNA, 2066 nt
Organism: Catharus ustulatus (Swainson's thrush)
Lineage: Eukaryota; Metazoa; Chordata; Aves; Passeriformes; Turdidae
Exons: 2
Source: RefSeq, a predicted model, not a curated record
CCCUCCCAUUCAAUCCCAGCCGCUGAUGCUCCCUCCAUCUCCAUGGCAUGCGGGCUCCAAAUACUUUUGCCUCGGUGAGGGAAGCAGGCUGGAGAAAGCGUGUGAUCACACGCAGUCAAGAAUCUAGUUGUCCUCAGAGUGAAGCUGUUCCUUCACCUGCGUGAAGGGCAUGAAAGAAGUUUUCAUCUGAGGCAAAUGAAAAAUGUCCCACCCCCUUCCCACCCUCCACCUCACCAGCACUGUAAAGAAUAAAAGGAAUGAGGCUGGAGAGAAACCGUCCUGGAAAGGUCAACCAUUUCAACAUGUCCAAAGCACUGAGGGAUUUCCAGUGAAUUAUAUUCCUUAAGGAAAGGCAGAGGCAAGAGUAGUUGUCUUGUUUUAAGCAUCCCUGAUAUGCCUUGAUUCUAAACAUCACAUCAGACAAAAUGUGGUGAACUUUAAGUAGCCAUUUACAAGAAGUCUAAAAGUUAUCUUAAAAAUACUUUAUCAUUACUAGACAUCAGCAACAGCCAUCCUUCCCUCUUUUUUUCAGGAGGGAUAUGAGAUUUCACUUUAUUUUCUCCUUGGGACAAAACUUGAAGGUGUGACUUGAGUUGAGAUCACCGCAAAGAGCAACAGAAAGUCCAGCCUUAGGCUGAGCUAAUUUCACCAGAGAGAAACUAUACGAGGAGAGACAUCUACCCAAUUGUAGAAGAGCCACUGUGAGCACAUCAUUCUGUGAGCCUCAUGAAGUGCUUUACCUGAACUUAUGAUAGUCUUGGAAUCAGCUUUAGGCCCAACAUAGCUCACAUAAGUCAUGCUUGCAACUUUCUGUCUGAAAUGAGCAGGGUUGGUGUUGCCUGGUGGGGAUGUCAAAGGCAGUGUGAAUCUGCCUUUCAAGUCUGAGUCAUCGUGACAGGCCACACAAAGUCACUACUUCUAGUUCUGAGGACAAAGACCUUUAGUUGUGAGGAACAAAGACCUCACAUGUUUUCCAUCUAUUCCAAACCCUUCCAAUACAUUCCUGUGGCAACAUAACCUUGGGGAAAAUAUGGCUGUGUGAGCAACAGCCCUUUUCAGUUCUAGUUCUUAAAAACUAAUUCUGUCAUGAGAAAUCACUCCUCUGUGGAGAAUGCUGGUUAAGCCUUAAUUUGCAGAGAUUAAUACAGCUACACAGUCCCAGCAUCCAAGCAGGAGUUUGUAGUGCCAGUGUGGGUAGUUCUGCUGGGCAGGCUGUGCCAUGAACAGUUGGUUUGUUUGGUGGCUGGGCACCGUGGCACCCGUAAAGCUGCACUUUCACCUACGGUAAGAACUUCAAAACCAAAACCUCACAGAUUUAAACAGUAAGUUAAUUUUUUAAAAAACAGAUGUGUGGCUAAAGUGCAAGCUUAAAGAAAGUCUGAAAACUAUCGUCUCACAGAUCAUUGAAAUCAGACACUGGUUCAUGUAGUGAAAAUGUGCCAAAAACAAAGAACCUAUUCUUACACUCGCUGCCACUACAAAAUUUCAUCAGACACAAGGAUGACACAAGGUGGCAUUUUUCACCCUUCAGGUGCAACCUGAGUUAGUGGCAGAGUAACAGAUCCACUCUGCUGUUAUCCAGAGAUCUCAUCUUCCCAACCUUCUGUAUCAAGUUCUCCUUACCUCAUGUAACUCACCACUCUAAGUAAGAAAUUUAAGGUACCCAGCAGCCCAAUGCCAUGGCAGAGGUAGAGAUGAGAUGACUGAAAACCAGCAGGUUAUGAUUUGAACAGGACAUCUUACCAGAUUGUCCAAAUGCUACAUGGAAUUUUAAUUUAAAACUCUUAAUAAUGCUGAUUUUCCAGGUAAGAAAAAAAAACUUAAUCAAGCCUGAGUACUUCAUUUGAGAGGUGAGCUUCUGCUACGUUCUGGAGUGCAAAAGCUGAAGAGAGCAGGUGAGGCUUGUUACUAAAUUCCACUGCUGCUUUUCAGAAUAUCCUUACAGUUUAAAGCAAGUUUGCCAUGUGCACGUUACUGAAAGAGCCAGUAUAUAUUGUCCUGCCCAGCUUCCUUCUCAGUACAAUUCAUCUGAACCUUAUUCGGCUGCAAGACAACCCAGAUGUAUU